ACACAUGCAGUCGAGCGGGAUUAGCAGCAAUGGCUAUGAGAGCGGCGCACGGGUGCGUAACGCGUAUGCAACCUGCCUUAUACAGGGGGAUAGCCCAUGGAAACGUGGAUUAAUGUCCCAUAGGACUUUAGGAUCGCAUGGUUUUGAAGUUAAAGCUGAGGUGGUAUAAGAUGGGCAUGCGUCUGAUUAGGUAGUUGGUAGGGUAACGGCCUACCAAGCCGACGAUCAGUAGGGGUUCUGAGAGGAUUACCCCCCACACUGGUACUGAGACACGGACCAGACUCCUACGGGAGGCAGCAGUGAGGAAUAUUGGUCAAUGGGCGAGAGCCUGAACCAGCCAUCCCGCGUGCAGGAUGACGGCCCUAUGGGUUGUAAACUGCUUUUCUGCCCCAAGAAACCUGAUUACGUGUAAUCAGUUGACGGUAGGGUAGGAAUAAGCAUCGGCUAACUCCGUGCCAGCAGCCGCGGUAAUACGGAGGAUGCAAGCGUUAUCCGGAUUCAUUGGGUUUAAAGGGUGCGCAGGUUGGGAUGUAAGUCAGUGGUGAAAUACUGCCGCUUAACGGUAGAGCUGCCAUUGAUACUGCGUUUCUUGAGUAUGGUUGAGGUAGGUGGAAUGUGUUGUGUAGCGGUGAAAUGCAUAGAUAUGACACAGAACGCCGAUUGCGAAGGCAACUUACUAAGCCAUUACUGACGCUGAGGCACGAAAGCGUGGGUAGCGAACAGGAUUAGAUACCCCUGGUAGUCCACGCUGUAAACGAUGUUCACUCGCUGUUUGCGAUACACAGUAAGCGGCUGAGCGAAAGCAUUAAGUGACACCCUGGGGGGAGUACGAUC
This 834-nucleotide ribosomal RNA is filed under the name uncultured bacterium. Its description in RNAcentral is "bacterial SSU rRNA". It matches the Rfam family "Bacterial small subunit ribosomal RNA", at positions 51 to 887 of the family's 1533-position model. The record is from RNAcentral.